This 625-nucleotide ribosomal RNA is filed under the name uncultured fungus. RNAcentral's name for it is "eukaryotic LSU rRNA". It matches the Rfam family "Eukaryotic large subunit ribosomal RNA", at positions 23 to 640 of the family's 3401-position model. Lineage: Eukaryota; Fungi. The record is from RNAcentral.
ACCCGCUGAACUUAAGCGGAGGAAAAGAAAUUAACUAAGAUUGCCUCAGUAACGGCGAGUGAAGCGGCAAGAGCCCAAGCUGGAAAUCUUCACACUGCGUGUGACGAAUUGUAAUCUAAAGAGGGUUCGCUCAACGGGCGGUGGCGCAGAAGUGCCUUAGAACGGGCCGCCAGAGAGGGUGACAGCCCCGUAUGUGGUGCCACUGCCUAACGAGCGGGUCCCCGAAGAGUCGGGUUGUUUUGUAUUGCAGCCCUAAGUGGGAGAUAAACUUCUUCUAAGGCUAAAUACCUAUGGGAAACCGAUAGCGAACAAGUACUGUGAAGGAAAGAUGAAAAGAACUUUGAAAAGAGAGUCAAAAGACUUGAAAUCGUUGAGAAGGAAGCGGUAGAAAUUUAUUCUUCGGCGGUGAACGGUGACUUCUGCCUAUCCAUUGCCGGCUGCCAGCACUUCAUAAGGCUGCGGCUGGCACAUGGGGAAGCGGCUGUCUUGUUCUCCGUCGUGAGGCAAAAUGAGGUCGCACAUCCGCAGAGGCUUCCCAAACCUGGCCCGAUUCGUCGGGUAGUUUGGGUUCGCCGGUGGGCGUGCGGCCUGAGGGUGCUUCGUGCGAUUUUGCCAAAAUGGUUUU